UACGUAGGGACCGAGCGUUGUCCGGAUUCAUUGGGCGUAAAGAGCUCGUAGGCGGCUGCUCAAGUCGAAUGUGAAAACUCGAGGCUCAACCUCGAGCCUGCAUUCGAUACUGGGCGGCUAGAGUCUGGUAGGGGGAUCUGGAAUUCCUGGUGUAGCGGUGAAAUGCGUAGAUAUCAAGAGGAACACCUGAGGUGAAGACGGGUUGCUGGGCUGACACUGACGCUGAGGCGCGAAAGCUAGGGUAGCAAACGGG
This 253-nucleotide ribosomal RNA is filed under the name uncultured bacterium. RNAcentral describes it as "partial 16S ribosomal RNA". It matches the Rfam family "Bacterial small subunit ribosomal RNA", at positions 524 to 776 of the family's 1533-position model. The record is from RNAcentral.